Homo sapiens (human) is the source of this 444-nucleotide long non-coding RNA. The record is from Ensembl. Lineage: Eukaryota; Metazoa; Chordata; Mammalia; Primates; Hominidae.
CAUUCCAGAACCCUAACUGUUCACCUGACAAGACCUCAGGCAAAGCCCUGGCUCCCUCGGAGGAUCGGGGCUUUCUUGUUUGUAAAACAGGACACGGACUUUAGGAGCUCAGACACGAAUGCAUGCAAAAGCCUUACAGAGGGUUCAGGAGAGGAGACAGGACUUGAGUGUCACUUCCCCUCCUGCUGUCUUGUGGCCCUGCCAUGCACUGUGGCAAGUCUUCUGUUAUCUUCUGCCUGAGAGGCCGUGACUAAGAAGGUUCCAGACUUCCCGUCUAUCAAAGGAUGGAGGGAGAAAGGGCUCCGAAGGAGAAGGAAGAAGAAUAAGGGCAUUGGCCUCAGUCCAGAUGAAAAGACCCAGAUGCAAAAUUAUUUGGGCCACAUAUGUGUUGUUUGCUUAUCAAAUUUUCAACCUUUGAAAAAUCACAAUAUUGGAUGGUGGGAA